Non-coding RNA from Bos taurus (domestic cattle), 72 nucleotides. The record is from Rfam. Lineage: Eukaryota; Metazoa; Chordata; Mammalia; Artiodactyla; Bovidae.
UUCCUGGUGGUCCAGUGGCUAAGACUCUUGUUCCCAAUGCAGGGGGCCCAGGUUCAACCCCUGGUCAGGGAA